RNAcentral lists this small RNA (83 nucleotides) under Salmonella enterica subsp. salamae serovar Greenside. Its description in RNAcentral is "partial RtT sRNA". It matches the Rfam family "RtT RNA", at positions 46 to 130 of the family's 130-position model. Rfam says of the family: This family represents a bacterial cis-regulatory element known as RtT RNA. The exact function of RtT is unknown although it is thought that it may be involved in changing the cellular response in relation to amino acid starvation. Lineage: Bacteria; Pseudomonadati; Pseudomonadota; Gammaproteobacteria; Enterobacterales; Enterobacteriaceae. The record is from RNAcentral.
UGUCGAACGCAGUGAGACAACGGAGCCGCCUGCGGCGACGGCCCGAAGGGCGAGCGAAGCGAGUCAUCCUGCACGACCCACCA